GAGACCGAUAGCGAACAAGUAGAGUGAUCGAAAGAUGAAAAGCACCUUGAAAAGAGGGUUAAAUAGUACGUGAAAUUGUUGAAAGGGAAGCGCUUGUGACCAGACUUGGGCGCGGCGGAUAUCCGGGGUUCUCCCCGGUGCACUUCGCCGUGUCCAGGCCAGCAUCAGUUCGUCGCGGGGGAAAAAGGCUUCGGGAACGUGGCUCCCCUGGGAGUGUUAUAGCCCGUUGCAUAAUACCCUGCGGUGGACUGAGGACCGCGCAUCUGCAAGGAUGCUGGCGUAAUGGUCACCAGCGACCCGUCUUGAAACACGGACCAAGACGUGUAAUUCGCGAUCUUCGAUCCCCUAGCACGAGGUAUUUCAGGGUUACUCGGGGACGUCCAACUUUCCGGAAAUAUCUGCGGAAGAAGACCGGGCUAUACCCUUAAGGCCUACCCCCACACCAUGCCAC
This 451-nucleotide ribosomal RNA is filed under the name Trichoderma sp. SC41. RNAcentral describes it as "LSU rRNA". The stretch from base 1 to 313 matches the Rfam family "Eukaryotic large subunit ribosomal RNA", at positions 330 to 664 of the family's 3401-position model. Lineage: Eukaryota; Fungi; Ascomycota; Sordariomycetes; Hypocreales; Hypocreaceae. The record is from RNAcentral.